AUGGCGAUGGCGCAGACCGACGCGCGACCAACCCUCGGCACCUCCCUGCCGUGGCUCGGACCGGCCACCGCGUCGCCGAUCCAGCUACCCGUAUUCUGGGCGUGUAGCGUCCCCGUCGCUGCUUGCGGCUGUGGUUGGUCGCCGACGGCGGUGGCCGUGGGCGUGCGGCGCAGGGAUGGCAUGCCGAAGCUCAGGACAGUAAAAAACUUGAACCAGCAGAGGAGAAAACAGGGGCUUGGCAUCAAGGAGUUGAAGUUGAUGGUGCCAGACGGCGCGUCGGGGCUGGAGGUGUUCGCGGCCAACUCCAACUUAGUUCUUCAGCAGCUGGGACUGCGGUCGCUUUCCUCUCCAUCAACAGCAGGCAAGCAUUGUUCCAUCGACACGUCCACCUCUCGGGGCAUAAAGGCAAACCAUCCCUUCAGCGGACACAGCAACAAUAAAAGAAAAACACGGCUUCAACGGAGAAAUAAGAUGAAGACUCAUAGUGUCCUUGGGCAAGUCCUCAGAGAAGUUUCUGAUAUAUGUAGACCGAGCGGGCUCUCAAACACACACAUGGAGGUAAUAUUUUCUGCUGCUAUGGGUGAGCUUGCCAGUAGAUCCAUAUCUUUCCUGGUGGACAGAUACCUGAAGCAGCGGUCAGCGGAGGCAACCGAGGAGGAGAGGCUGCACGGCCUGCAACGGCUGCUACUGCGGCUUCAUGUCGUCGUCGAGGAGGCAGAUGACCGGCUCAUUACAAACCAGGCCAUGCUGCAUCAACUCAGCAUACUGAGACAGGAGAUGUACAUGGGGUAUUACACCCUCGAUAUGUUCAGUUGCGGAGCACAUGAAGAUAACAGGUCAAAAGAUUACUCUUUUGCCCCAUCUAAGUUCAACCCUGCAAAGCGUGUAUGCUUCUGCAAUGCCAACAAUGAUGGUGCAGCACAAGCUGAGCUGCUGGAGCAAGUUCUUGGCAGCAUAAGGAACACCAUUGAAGAUGUGAAUGAGUUCAUCAUAUUUCUAAACAGUUACCCACGUCUGCACCGUCAACCGUACAACAUGUAUCUGCUGCUGGACAAAUGCAUGUUUGGACGACAAAUGGAGAUGGAACUUGUGAUGAACUUCCUGUUGCAAUCACAGACUGCUCCUGGUGCUGCUGAUCAUUUGGCUGUCUUGCCAAUCGUCGGUCCCAGGAAAGUUGGAAAGAGCACCCUGGUCGAGCAUGUAUGCAACGAUGAAAGGGUCCGCAACCACUUCUCUCAAAUUUUGUUUUUCAAUGGGGAUCAUCUUAAAGAUGCAAUUGUAGAGACCCUAAGAGAUGGAGGUAGAAUCAAGCAUCAAAACGGUGGGAUGGGCGGUGGAAGGACAUUGAUCAUCAUUGAGCUUCUUCUGGAUAUUGAGGAGCCUGUAUGGAAGAGGUUGUAUUCAGCUGCGAAAAGUCGCAUCACGAGUGGAAGUAAGAUGAUAAUUGUGAGCCGCUCUGACAAGAUCGCAAGCUUUGGAACCACGGAAUCCCUCACAUUACAGUUCUUAACUCAAGAAGCAUACCUGUACUUCUUCAAGGUGCGUUCCUUUGGUAGCACGAGAGCAGAGGACCACCCGAAGCUCGCAUCAAUGGCCAUGGAGAUGGCCAAUUUGACGAGUGGGUGCUUCAUGUCUGCAAACAUCAUGGUGGAGCCAACAUAUCUCAGGAGGGUGAAUAAAUGUGUCGUGUUGUUUCUUGACUACGAGACAUGUUCUGCUGAAACUGGACCUGAAGCUCGGAGGAUGAUGAGCGCGCAAGAUCUUCUCUUUGGAAGUGUGAGGCUUCGAGGGAAAUUCAAGGUCCAUGCAUGGACAUCCCACCUGCCGCCUCACUACAGCUACAUCGUUCAGUGUGAGGUACAGAGGCCACAUCGCAUGGUCACAAUAUUUGUCGACGCCAAACACGUCAAAGCUGCAGAGGAGACCUACCCAUGGCGGCAGCCACUGACCAUCCCUACCAUCCUUCCACUGCGGCGACGUGCUCCGCAGAGCCUGUGGUUGGCCGACGGCAGUCGUUGUAGCAGCACGGCACAUGGAGGGAGGGGAGGCACGAAGGCUGGUGCUCCUGUGCUCCCUCUGAGUUCUCCUUUUUCGGUUUUUGAGUCUGAACUGGUUCCGGUUUUUUCAGAUUCAGAUCCUGACAAAAGCUCUGCACUUGGCACGGCUGCUACUCAAGUUUGUAGUGCCAUCCACCUCCUCGUAAAGCAGCAAAUGCUCAUGGCAAUCAUGAUUCCGCUAGCUCUGGUGCUGCUGUUACAGUUCCCACCGGUUUUCUUCACGGGACCCAGUGUUCAGGGCCUCUCGACAGGAACCAAUCCUCAAUUCCCUGUUAGUUGCUCCUGCUCCAGGAUUCACCCUCGUUGCCUUCUUGACGUGGCUUGGACUGACCAGGCUGUUAACAACCUCCUAGGGCAUCACAUGCUCUGGGAGUAUAGUAUUGUUGGUUGA
RNAcentral lists this ribosomal RNA (2448 nucleotides) under Triticum aestivum (bread wheat). RNAcentral's name for it is "partial small subunit ribosomal RNA". Lineage: Eukaryota; Viridiplantae; Streptophyta; Magnoliopsida; Poales; Poaceae. The record is from RNAcentral.